Molecule: transfer-messenger RNA, 363 nt
Filed under: Escherichia coli
Lineage: Bacteria; Pseudomonadati; Pseudomonadota; Gammaproteobacteria; Enterobacterales; Enterobacteriaceae
Description: Standard tmRNA
Rfam family: transfer-messenger RNA
About the family: Bacterial tmRNA, also known as 10Sa RNA or SsrA, is named for its dual tRNA and mRNA-like properties.
Source: RNAcentral
GGGGCUGAUUCUGGAUUCGACGGGAUUUGCGAAACCCAAGGUGCAUGCCGAGGGGCGGUUGGCCUCGUAAAAAGCCGCAAAAAAUAGUCGCAAACGACGAAAACUACGCUUUAGCAGCUUAAUAACCUGCUUAGAGCCCUCUCUCCCUAGCCUCCGCUCUUAGGACGGGGAUCAAGAGAGGUCAAACCCAAAAGAGAUCGCGUGGAAGCCCUGCCCGGGGUUGAAGCGUUAAAACUUAAUCAGGCUAGUUUGUUAGUGGCGUGUCCGUCCGCAGCUGGCAAGCGAAUGUAAAGACUGACUAAGCAUGUAGUACCGAGGACGUAGGAAUUUCGGACGCGGGUUCAACUCCCGCCAGCUCCACCA